UGUUCAAGUAUUGUUGAACCCAUACAUCCGCUUCAUUUUCAGGUGUAACAUCGUUGGGCGCAAUGUAGUUUAAGGACCUGUGUGGUGUUGCAUUGUAGCUCUUUACAAAUUUUUAAUCAAGUUAUUGACUUAACAAAUAGUGAACAGGAGAUGAUGGAAAUAGACAAUCAUGCUAUAGCUAGUGCAAGCUGUAGUCAACAUUAACAAAAAGAUGACAUAUCAUUAGUACAAGAAAUUGAAGAGGCAAGUGAAAGAUUUCUCAAUGAACCGAUGGAAGUGGAUGUUGUCGAUAGAUUUAUAGACGAUCAAAAACGAUUAUUUAAAGCAAAAACAAGAAGAAGUAGAGGGGAGUAAGCAGUAGCAGAGAAAGAGUAAAAAGACAAUCUUGAAUAUUUCAGAAUUUACAAAGAAAAAGAGAAAAACUUUUUUUUAUUUUAACUGUCCUUUUUUGACUAGUUUGUAAGAAAAUAAAGUUAGUGGUUCGUAAA
Mytilus californianus (California mussel) is the source of this 488-nucleotide long non-coding RNA. RefSeq lists it as uncharacterized. Lineage: Eukaryota; Metazoa; Mollusca; Bivalvia; Mytilida; Mytilidae. The record is from RefSeq and is a predicted model, not a curated record. The transcript is spliced from 4 exons.